Molecule: ribosomal RNA, 500 nt
Filed under: uncultured Enterobacterales bacterium
Lineage: Bacteria; Pseudomonadati; Pseudomonadota; Gammaproteobacteria; Enterobacterales
Description: bacterial SSU rRNA
Rfam family: Bacterial small subunit ribosomal RNA
Source: RNAcentral
AUUGAACGCUGGCGGCAGGCCUAACACAUGCAAGUCGAACGGUAGCACAGAGGAGCUUGCUCCUUGGGUGACGAGUGGCGGACGGGUGAGUAAUGUCUGGGAAGCUGCCCGAUGGAGGGGGAUAACUACUGGAAACGGUAGCUAAUACCGCAUAACGUCGCAAGACCAAAGAGGGGGACCUUCGGGCCUCUUGCCAUCGGAUGUGCCCAGAUGGGAUUAGCUAGUAGGUGGGGUAACGGCUCACCUAGGCGACGAUCCCUAGCUGGUCUGAGAGGAUGACCAGCCACACUGGAACUGAGACACGGUCCAGACUCCUACGGGAGGCAGCAGUGGGGAAUAUUGCACAAUGGGCGCAAGCCUGAUGCAGCCAUGCCGCGUGUAUGAAGAAGGCCUUCGGGUUGUAAAGUACUUUCAGCGAGGAGGAAGGCGUUGUGGUUAAUAACCGCAACGAUUGACGUUACUCGCAGAAGAAGCACCGGCUAACUCCGUGCCAGCAGCCG